CCGCUCGAACAGCGCAGCAACGUAAAAUGGUCCCGCAGCCGCGGACGCAGAGUGGAAACGGACACGGUCGCCGCCACCGAUUCCCGCGCCUGAGCUGAGGUCUGAGCCCGGGCCCUGCUCCUUGGCCCAGACCUUGUGGGUGCCCUUCUUUGCCCUGAGUCAGGAUCUCCCCCGUCCCGGCCCCCACGGCGG
This 192-nucleotide long non-coding RNA is filed under the name Felis catus (domestic cat). RNAcentral describes it as "lncRNA (ENSFCAG00000051891.1)". Lineage: Eukaryota; Metazoa; Chordata; Mammalia; Carnivora; Felidae. The record is from RNAcentral.